Molecule: long non-coding RNA, 1033 nt
Filed under: Medicago truncatula (barrel medic)
Lineage: Eukaryota; Viridiplantae; Streptophyta; Magnoliopsida; Fabales; Fabaceae
Description: long non-coding RNA (MTRU_LNC005196)
Source: RNAcentral
GAAAAAUUAAUUUAAGAAUUAACUCUCACAUCAUUCAUUAGAAUGAAAGCAUAUAUAAUGGCAACAGAAGGAAAAGGUCAUUCAAAUGUACAAGCUCAAAGGUUACAAAAUUUCCUUUUAGAAUAAGCUUCAUAUGAGAAGCUUUACUUCACAAGACAUUGGUUUCGAAUCCAAACCAUAUUUAGGUUUUCCCUAUUUGACUUGUGUGUUAUAGAAGUUUGAGCUAAAGAACAAAAGUGACGGACAAUCAAAAUGAGCAUGAGGUACAAAGUGGCUUUAUUCCUAUAAACUAGUGUUACCUGCUAGCUUUGUCGAAUGCUUUGUCCAUGGUUUGUGAAGUGACAUUGUUAUAGUACAAUAAAUCGACCAAACGAUUUUGCAUUGGCAAUAAGGAAAGGAUAAUUUGCAUUCCAAGGAUUAAAAACAACUACAAUAUUGCUAUAAACCUCAGGAUGCAGAUUAUCUAAUCCUUACCCAAUAAUUAUACCGACUCCAUCAAGAAGACUUAUUGCUCUAAAGGAAAAUGGAAACCGUCAUGUUGAUAUGUGUUGUGUAGUCUUGGGAGCGGCGGGAGCGGUAAUAGGCUAUACAUCGAGGAUCUCUAAGAGACUUUGACACCAUAUCUUCACCCAAUUCCUUAAGAUAUUAAGUAUAUGUGUCGCAUCACUUUAUAUCAAACAUUUUCUUCAUUUCAAAUUGAUGUGAGACUUAAUCACUCACAUUUGAAACCCAACAAUUUCAUAGUUCUACGCCUAUUGGGGUUAAGGAAGAGAUAAUCUGCACUCCAAGGCUUAGAUACAAUUACGCAGCUGUUAUUCUAAACCUCAGGAUGCAGAUUACCCCAUCCAAACCCAAUAUAUCCUCAUUCAAGAAGUUUAAUUAGUAUUGGUAUACUAAGGAAAAUGUAAUUUGAAUCCGAAGGACUAGAUACAAUGCAAGCAUUGUUCUAAUCCUCACACAAUUUACAAGGUAGAGUCUAAGGGAAGAGAGAGCAAAUGGGAGUACAAGAGAGAGCAUGAGAAAAUACUAUAUG